GUUAAAUUGUUCCUUAUAAAAUUGUUAUACGAUUAUGACUGAUGUACCCAUAUUUUGACUAUUUUAUUUAUUGUGUCUGUUUAGUUAACGCAUCAAUGUAAAUAUAACGGAAUUUGAUGAGAGUAUCAUCAAAGUGAGAUGGUUAGCGCUAUAAAACCAGGUUUAAUCCACCAUUUUCUACAUUUGAAAAUGCAUACCAAGUCAGGAAUAUGACAGUUCUUGUCCAUUCGUUUUUGAUGCGUUUUGUUAUUUGAUUUUGCCAUGUGAUUAUGGACUUUCCGAAUUGAUUUUCCUCUAAGUUCAGUAUUUUUGUGAUUUAACUUUCUACACUUUGCUACUCAUUUUACAGAUAUGUAUUUGUAAAGUUAUAAUGCAGCAGAUUAGAUUUGUUUGCCUUUUCGUUAUAAUUAGUUUUGUUAAUUCACUUUCUUACCACUGUAUGUAAAAUAUUAAAUUAGAAACCUAGCUAGUAUCUUUGCUGAUAUUUUAUAUUUGGUUAUUUUGUAUCUGUAAUUUGACCAUAUUAGUACAAUAUAGACAGUGGAAAUUGUAAAGCUUGGUGUUAAAAGAAUUUGUCGCCUUUAAAACUAAGGUUACAAAUUUGCCUCAGGCUUAAUUGUUUUUGUUGACCUUUUACACCACUAGGUCGAUGCCACUGCUGGUGAACGUUUCUUCCCCCCCGAGGGUACACCAAUCCAGUAGCACUUCGGUGUUGACAUGAAUAUCAAUUAGAUGGUCUUUUUUAUAUAUAUAUAAGUUUCCUGUUUACAAACCUUUGAAUUUUCGAAAAACUAAGGACUUUUUUUUUUAUCAUAGUUCGUUUCUGUGUGUGUAACAUUUUAACGUUGUGUAUCCGUUGUGUCGUUUGUUUUCUCUUAUAUUUGACUGUAAAUUCACAUUAUUAUAAGACGUGUCACGGUACUUUUCUAUCCCAAAUUCAUGUAUUUGGUUUUGAUGUUAUAUUGGUUAUUCUCAUCGGAUUUUGUCUAAUGCUUAGUCCGUUGCUGUGUGUGUAUUACAUUUUAAUGUUGUGUCGUAUUUAAUGCGUUUCCCUCAGUUUUAGUUUGUUACCCCGAUUUUGUUUUUGUCCAUAGAUUUAUGAGUUUUGAACAGCGGUGUACUACUGAUGCCCCCCUUUUUUUUAUCUCAGGAAUAGAUGACCGAAACAGUAUUUGGUACAACUUUUUGGAAUUUUGGUCCUCAAUACUCUUCAACUUUGUACUUGUUUGGCUACAUAACUUUUUAGAUAUUAGCUUCAUUGACGAGUCUUCUGUAGACGAAACGCGCGUCUGGCGUAUCAAAUUAUAAUCCUGGUACCUUUGAGAACCUUUUAGCUAUACGUACUCUUUACCUCCGUUUUGGUGACAAUGUCACUAACGUGUUUACAUAUAUAUAAAUACAUCCCUGGCUUUCAAAUAUAUAGGUUUGAUGAAAAUACAUUAAAAAAAGCGCUUCGGACGCGCGACAUUAAUAAAGUGCUAGCAAUAACCUGUUUGAUACCGUUUGUUCCUUAGUCAUAAGCUCUGUUGUACGUGCUUCGGCAAUGACAAGGUGUAUAACAAUUAUACAAUUAUCUCCAUUGAUAAUUUAAUAAAUUAUUAUAAGGGUCGGUUGAAAAAAAACUUUACGACAAAAGAGAUGAUUUCAGCUUUCCAACUGUGAACUUUCCAUUUCUAAGUAGCAACAUUCCAGCAGCACCAGCAUACGGGGUAUAUAUCUCCCAAUUGAUACGAUAUUCCCGUGCUUGCAUUUCCUAUCAUGAAUUUCUUGAUAGAGGGUUGCUGCUCACAAGGAAACUAUUAAACCAAGAGUUCCAAAUGGUGAAGUUGAAAUCAUCCCUUCGUAAAUUUUACGGACGCCAUCACGAGUUGGUUGACCGUUAUGGAAUAACCGUUUCACAAAUGAUAUCAGAUAUGUUCCUUACGUCGUAACUACAGUCCCCUUCCCUUUCAUGAAUGUGACCUACCGAAUUAGACUAUUUACCGGAUUUGUUAUCACAUAAGCAACACGACUGGUGCCACAUGUGGAGCAGGAUUUGCUUACCCUUCCGGAGCACCUGAGAUCACCCCUAGUUUUUUGGGGGGGGGGUUCGUAUUGUUUAUUCUUUUGUUUUCUAUGUUGAGUCAUGUGUGCUGUUUUUUUGUUGUCUUUUUCAUUUUUAGCCAUGGCGUUGUCAGUUUGUUUUAGAUUUAUGAGUUUUACUGUCCCUUUAGUAUCUUUCGUCCCUCUUUUAUCAAUAAGCUAAGGUUCAAUUUUGAAACAAAAAUCACUGCAUGCUUUUGUUACUCAUCUUCAUACAUUUAAAUAAAGAUAGUCUAAUAAAAGUACAUAUAAAAGCACAAGAGUUGUCUCUCUUCCUACAACGAUUUUAUUAUCAUAUUUGAAAACGUCAAAAUGCCUUUAUUCGUAGUUUUGUGUUGGCGUUAUCAUUCUUAUGUUAUAUUUCUAAAAUUUCAAGUACACUGAACAACUGCCCAGUGUCUGAACUUUACUGAUUUGGUAUAAAAACCAGGCUAAAAGAUGACAAAACAUAAACAAAAACACACCAAAGAUCACAAAUAAGUUCUUGAUCUAGAACCAACAAAAGCUGGUCAACAUAACUCUUGCUAUUCGCAUGAAUGUAAAUUAUACAAACUCA
RNAcentral lists this long non-coding RNA (2638 nucleotides) under Mytilus galloprovincialis (Mediterranean mussel). Lineage: Eukaryota; Metazoa; Mollusca; Bivalvia; Mytilida; Mytilidae. The record is from RNAcentral.